Molecule: unclassified non-coding RNA, 378 nt
Filed under: Hevea brasiliensis (rubber tree)
Lineage: Eukaryota; Viridiplantae; Streptophyta; Magnoliopsida; Malpighiales; Euphorbiaceae
Source: RNAcentral
CUCCAAUUUGGAUGAUUCUUUGCUUUGUGUGAUAAAUCAGAUAACCUGAUUUGGAUAAAGGAAUUGCGGAAUUCCCUUUUCCAUUUUCAAAUCAGGUGAGUUCAUCGCAAGAUAACUCAGAUUUUGUUAGAUUCUAAAAAUAAUACAAGUUCAAGUUAUUUCAUUUUUGAAUCUGGCUUCAUGGAAAUUCGGGGAGAUGAUGAGGCUAGUAUUAGUAUUGGUGGAGAUAAAUCUCCUUUGGAUAAUGUAGAGGUAGAAGGUGGGGAAGCAUCAUCGGUUUUGAGGUCGACCCUUUUCUUGGAUAAUGUUGGGGAAGUUGUUCUAACUCUCGAUUCUGAUGGUUUGUCUUGGGAAUUGCUUGAUUCCUUCGAAACUGAU